Molecule: ribosomal RNA, 497 nt
Filed under: uncultured bacterium
Lineage: Bacteria
Description: partial 16S ribosomal RNA
Rfam family: Bacterial small subunit ribosomal RNA
Source: RNAcentral
GAUGAACGCUGGCGGCGUGCCUAAUACAUGCAAGUCGAGCGAACAGACGAGGAGCUUGCUCCUCUGACGUUAGCGGCGGACGGGAGAGUAACACGUGGAUAACCUACCUAUAAGACUGGGAUAACUUCGGGAAACCGGAGCUAAUACCGGAUAAUAUAUUGAACCGCAUGGUUCAAUAGUGAAAGACGGUUUUGCUGUCACUUAUAGAUGGAUCUGCGCCGCAUUAGCUAGUUGGGAAGGUAACGGCUUACCAAGGCAACGAUGCGUAGCCGACCUGAGAGGGUGGUCGGCCACACGGGAACUGAGACACGGUCCAGACUCCUGCGGGAGGCAGCAGUAGGGAAUCUUCCGCAAUGGGCGAAAGCCUGACGUAGCAACGCCGCGUGAGUGAUGAUGGUCUUCGGAUCGUAAAACUCUGUUAUUAGGGAAGAACAAAUGUGUAAGUAGCUAUGCACGUCUUGACGGUACCUAAUCAGAAAGCCACGGCUAACUACGUG